GAUCCAGAGAUUUCCGAAUGGGGAAACCCAGCAUGAGUUAUGUCAUGUUAUCGAUAUGUGAAUACAUAGCAUAUCAGAAGGCACACCCGGAGAACUGAAACAUCUUAGUACCCGGAGGAAGAGAAAGAAAAUUCGAUUCCCUUAGUAGCGGCGAGCGAAAUGGGAAGAGCCCAAACCAACAAGCUUGCUUGUUGGGGUUGUAGGACACUCUAUACGGAGUUACAAAGGACGACAUUAGACGAAUCAUCUGGAAAGAUGAAUCAAAGAAGGUAAUAAUCCUGUAGUCGAAAAUGUUGUCUCUCUUGAGUGGAUCCUGAGUACGACGGAGCACGUGAAAUUCCGUCGGAAUCUGGGAGGACCAUCUCCUAAGGCUAAAUACUCUCUAGUGACCGAUAGUGAACCAGUACCGUGAGGGAAAGGUGAAAAGCACCCCGGAAGGGGAGUGAAAUAGAACCUGAAACCGUGUGCUUACAAGUAGUCAGAGCCCGUUAAUGGGUGAUGGCGUGCCUUUUGUAGAAUGAACCGGCGAGUUACGAUUUGAUGCAAGGUUAAGCAGUAAAUGUGGAGCCGUAGCGAAAGCGAGUCUGAAUAGGGCGUUUAGUAUUUGGUCGUAGACCCGAAACCAGGUGAUCUACCCUUGGUCAGGUUGAAGUUCAGGUAACACUGAAUGGAGGACCGAACCGACUUACGUUGAAAAGUGAGCGGAUGAACUGAGGGUAGCGGAGAAAUUCCAAUCGAACCUGGAGAUAGCUGGUUCUCUCCGAAAUAGCUUUAGGGCUAGCCUCAAGUGAUGAUUAUUGGAGGUAGAGCACUGUUUGGACGAGGGGCCCCUCUCGGGUUACCGAAUUCAGACAAACUCCGAAUGCCAAUUAAUUUAACUUGGGAGUCAGAACAUGGGUGAUAAGGUCCGUGUUCGAAAGGGAAACAGCCCAGACCACCAGCUAAGGUCCCAAAAUAUAUGUUAAGUGGAAAAGGAUGUGGCGUUGCCCAGACAACUAGGAUGUUGGCUUAGAAGCAGCCAUCAUUUAAAGAGUGCGUAAUAGCUCACUAGUCGAGUGACACUGCGCCGAAAAUGUACCGGGGCUAAACAUAUUACCGAAGCUGUGGAUUGUCCUUUGGACAAUGGUAGGAGAGCGUUCUAAGGGCGUUGAAGCAUGAUCGUAAGGACAUGUGGAGCGCUUAGAAGUGAGAAUGCCGGUGUGAGUAGCGAAAGACGGGUGAGAAUCCCGUCCACCGAUUGACUAAGGUUUCCAGAGGAAGGCUCGUCCGCUCUGGGUUAGUCGGGUCCUAAGCUGAGGCCGACAGGCGUAGGCGAUGGAUAACAGGUUGAUAUUCCUGUACCACCUAUAAUCGUUUUAAUCGAUGGGGGGACG
Molecule: ribosomal RNA, 1373 nt
Filed under: Staphylococcus aureus
Lineage: Bacteria; Bacillati; Bacillota; Bacilli; Caryophanales; Staphylococcaceae
Description: partial 23S ribosomal RNA
Rfam family: Bacterial large subunit ribosomal RNA
Source: RNAcentral